Molecule: unclassified non-coding RNA, 336 nt
Filed under: Hevea brasiliensis (rubber tree)
Lineage: Eukaryota; Viridiplantae; Streptophyta; Magnoliopsida; Malpighiales; Euphorbiaceae
Source: RNAcentral
GGCUUUGAUAACUUCUAAGUUCUCAUUUCCAUUUUCUUUCAAAUCUGUAUUCUUCGAAGCCAUUCAUUCGCCAUGUGGUCUCUUCGUCGAGCUUCCAAUUCUCUCAAGUUCCGGGGAUUGAGUGUAGUAACUUCUCGAGUUAGUUGUGCUAAAUCAGAAAUAUUUUCUAAUAAUGUUGAAGGCUAUUCUACAAUUUGCGAGUAUCCUCAAGCGCUAUCCGGCAACAGAUGCCUAUUUUACCACAAUGAAGCUAUUUGUUCAAAGUUCUAUAUGGUGAGCCAAAGUAUGUCUUCACAAGCUGGUGCAGAAAGCAGUGAAUCAGAAGAUGACUUAGAG